Molecule: ribosomal RNA, 435 nt
Filed under: uncultured bacterium
Lineage: Bacteria
Description: partial 16S ribosomal RNA
Rfam family: Bacterial small subunit ribosomal RNA
Source: RNAcentral
GAUGAACGCUGGCGGUAUGCUUAACACAUGCAAGUCGAACGGACUCUUCGGAGUUAGUGGCGGACGGGUGAGUAACGCGUGAGAAUCUGGCUUUGGGUUCGGGACAACCACUGGAAACGGUGGCUAAUACCGGAUGUGCCGAGAGGUAAAAGAGAAAUGGGCUGAAGAUGAGCUCGCGUCUGAUUAGCUAGUUGGUGAGGUAAAGGCUCACCAAGGCAGCGAUCAGUAGCUGGUCUGAGAGGAUGACCAGCCACACUGGGACUGAGACACGGCCCAGACUCCUACGGGAGGCAGCAGUGGGGAAUUUUCCGCAAUGGGCGAAAGCCUGACGGAGCAAUACCGCGUGAGGGAAGAAGGCUCUUGGGUUGUAAACCUCUUUUCUUAGGGAAGAACAAAAUGACGGUACCUAAGGAAUCAGCAUCGGCUAACUCCGUG